Pogona vitticeps (central bearded dragon) is the source of this 179-nucleotide long non-coding RNA. RefSeq lists it as uncharacterized. Lineage: Eukaryota; Metazoa; Chordata; Lepidosauria; Squamata; Agamidae. The record is from RefSeq and is a predicted model, not a curated record.
CUUCAGAACUCAGUUGCUGAAAUUACUGGGACAGAUAAUGCUUGUGACCUUAGGGUCAUUGUGGAUUCUGUGCUUUCUUUUGAAGCCCACAUCAAUCAGACUCCAUUGCUAACAGUGACAGAACCCUGACUAGAAAAAAGACCGGAAGAAGAAUCUGAGGCAGAGAGAGAACAGUUGGC